GAGUGGCAGACGGGUGAGUAACGCGUGGGAACAUACCCCCCGGUUCGGAAUAACUCAGGGAAACUUGAGCUAAUACCGGAUACGUCCAAGGUUUUCAUCGACCUUGGAGAAAGAUUUAUCGCCGGAGGAUUGGCCCGCGUCUGAUUAGCUUGUUGGUGAGGUAAUGGCUCACCAAGGCGACGAUCAGUAGCUGGUCUGAGAGGAUGAUCAGCCACAUUGGGACUGAGACACGGCCCAAACUCCUACGGGAGGCAGCAGUGGGGAAUAUUGGACAAUGGGCGAAAGCCUGAUCCAGCCAUGCCGCGUGAGUGAUGAAGGCCUUAGGGCUGUAAAGCUCUUUUACCCGGGAAGAUAAUGACGGUACCGGGAGAAUAAGCCCCGGCUCACUUCGUGCCAGCAGCCGCGGUAAUACGAAGGGGGCUAGCGUUGUUCGGAAUUACUGGGCGUAAAGCGCACGUAGGCGGAUCCUUAAGUCAGGGGUGAAAUCCCGAGGCUCAACCUCGGAACUGCCUUUGAUACUGGGGAUAUCGAGUCCGGGAGAGGUGAGUGGAACUGCGAGUGUAGAGGUGAAAUUCGUAGAUAUUCGCAAGAACACCAGUGGCGAAAGGCGGCUCACUGGCCCGGUACUGACGCUGAGGUGCGAAAGCGUGGGGAGCAAACAGGGAUUAGAUACCCUGGUAGUCCACGCCGUAAACGAUGGAUGCUAGCCGUUAGACAGCUUGCUGUUUAGUGGCGCAGUUAACGCGUUAAGCAUCCCGCCUGGGGAGUACGGUCGCAAGAUUAAAACUCAAAGGAAUUGACGGGGGCCCGCACAAGCGGUGGAGCAUGUGGUUUAAUUCGAAGCAACGCGAAGAACCUUACCAGCUCUUGACAUGUCUCGUAUGGGGACCGGAGACGGUUUCCUUCAGUUCGGCUGGCGAGAACACAGGUGCUGCAUGGCUGUCGUCAGCUCGUGUCGUGAGAUGUUGGGUUAAGUCCCGCAACGAGCGCAACCCUCGCCCUUAGUUGCCAUCAUUCAGUUGGGCACUCUAGGGGGACUGCCGGUGAUAAGCCGAGAGGAAGGUGGGGAUGACGUCAAGUCCUCAUGGCCCUUACGGGCUGGGCUACACACGUGCUACAAUGGCGGUGACAAUGGGAUGCUGAGGGGCGACCCCGAGCAAAUCUCAAAAAGCCGUCUCAGUUCGGAUUGCACUCUGCAACUCGAGUGCAUGAAGGUGGAAUCGCUAGUAAUCGUAGAUCAGAACGCUACGGUGAAUACGUUCCCGGGCCUUGCA
RNAcentral lists this ribosomal RNA (1274 nucleotides) under uncultured bacterium. RNAcentral's name for it is "bacterial SSU rRNA". It matches the Rfam family "Bacterial small subunit ribosomal RNA", at positions 93 to 1385 of the family's 1533-position model. The record is from RNAcentral.